Molecule: ribosomal RNA, 881 nt
Filed under: Conticribra weissflogii
Lineage: Eukaryota; Bacillariophyta; Thalassiosirophyceae; Thalassiosirales; Thalassiosiraceae
Description: partial Bacterial large subunit ribosomal RNA
Rfam family: Bacterial large subunit ribosomal RNA
Source: RNAcentral
CCGAACUCACGCCUGUUGAAAAAGUCGGAGAUGAGGUGUGGAUAGGAGUGAAAGGCUAAUCAAGGCGGGUGAUAGCUGGUUCUCCUCGAAAGCUAUUGAGGUAGCGCCUCGCGUCUAACUCAGGGGGGUAGAGCACUGUUACGGCUAGGGGGGACAUAAGUCCUUACCAAACCGUUGCAAACUCCGAAUACCCUGAAGUUCAAUCGCGGGAGACACACGGUGGGAGCUAAAUUUCAUCGUGAAGAGGGAAACAACCCAGACCGCCAGCUAAGGUCCCAAAGAUUGGCUAAGUGGAAAACGAAGUGGGAAGGCUAAAACAGUCAGGAUGUUGGCUUAGAAGCAGCCAUCCUUUAAAGAAAGCGUAAUAGCUCACUGAUCGAGUCGUCCUGCGCGGAAGAUGUAACGGGGCUAAGCCAGUUACCGAAGCUGCGGAUGUGCAAUUUAUUGCACGUGGUAGGAGAGCGUUCUGUAAGCCUGUGAAGGUGGCGGUGUAAACCCUGCUGGAGGUAUCAGAAGUGCGAAUGCUGACAUGAGUAGCGUUAAAGGGGGUGAAAAGCCCCCUCGCCGUAAGCGCAAGGUUUUCUACGCAACGUUCAUCGGCGUAGAGUGAGUCGGCCCCUAAGGCGAGGCAGAGAUGCGUAGCUGAUGGGAAACAGGUCAAUAUUCCUGUACCGAUGUGUAGUGCGAUGUGGGGACGGAGAAGGUUAGCUCAGCCAACUGUUGGAUAUGUUGGUUCAAGCCUGUAGUCGUGCCUGGUAGGUAAAUCCGCCGGGCUUAGAUGAGGGGUGAUAACGAGUCUGCUUGCAGACGAAGUGAGUGAUACCCUGCUUCCAGGAAAAGCCACUAAGCUUCAGCUAUUGACGACCGUACCGCAAACCGAC